This 253-nucleotide ribosomal RNA is filed under the name uncultured bacterium. RNAcentral describes it as "partial 16S ribosomal RNA". It matches the Rfam family "Bacterial small subunit ribosomal RNA", at positions 524 to 776 of the family's 1533-position model. The record is from RNAcentral.
UACGUAGGGGCCGAGCGUUGUCCGGAGUUAUUGGGCGUAAAGCGCGCGCAGGCGGCCUCGCGCGCCCGACGUGAAAGCCCCCGGCUUAACCGGGGAGGGUCGUUGGGGACGGCGGGGCUUGAGGGCGGGAGAGGGCGGUGGAAUUCCCGGUGUAGUGGUGAAAUGCGUAGAGAUCGGCAGGAACACCCAGGGGGAAACCAGUCGACUGGGCAUCUACUGACGCUGAGGUGCGAGAGCGUGGGGAGCGAACCGG